Molecule: long non-coding RNA, 384 nt
Organism: Amphimedon queenslandica
Lineage: Eukaryota; Metazoa; Porifera; Demospongiae; Haplosclerida; Niphatidae
Exons: 2
Source: RefSeq, a predicted model, not a curated record
GGUUGGUCCAGUGUUUCAUCAAAAUAAGGACAAGAUUAGCUCAACAACACAAAAGAUAAUUGAAGAUGAAAUUAAAAGAUUGUUAAAAGAGAGUCAUGACAGAGCUUACCAGCUGCUAAAGACUCAUGCUACAGAACACAAAAGACUAGCGGAAGGUUUAUUGAAGUAUGAGACUUUAGAUUUAGAAGAAAUUAAACAAGUGAUCAGUGGGAAGCCAUUAUCAAGAUCAGUAUAAACCACACCCACUGUCCCUCUCUUGUGUUGUAUUGUCAUUGCAUUCAUUUAUGUAUUAUAUUAAUAAUAAUAAUAAUAAUAAUAAUAAUAAUAAUAAUAAUAAUAGUUCAGCAAUGUUUUUAAUAGGACAAGAAGCAAAUCUAUAAGAAA